This 358-nucleotide unclassified non-coding RNA is filed under the name Hevea brasiliensis (rubber tree). Lineage: Eukaryota; Viridiplantae; Streptophyta; Magnoliopsida; Malpighiales; Euphorbiaceae. The record is from RNAcentral.
GAAGGGUAAAUUGUUCUUUCUUUUGAUAUUAUCAUAUGCAACUACAGUAUUAAAACAAAAGCACAUAUUGCCUAUCUUUAUGAUUUAAUGUUGGCAGCAUGCUCCUGAUACAUAUAGCUGUUUAUUGAACGAAAAUUUAGUUCUAAUAAGAGAGAUUAACUUGAGAAAGUCAAGUCCCAGCUUUCUAAAUGGGCAAAUCCCAUUAAGAACAUGUACAGAUUUGAAGUGUAAAAGCUUGGAAUCAUUUUUGCUUUGACAGAUUCACUAGUAUUAUAGAAAAUUAGAAAUAUGAUUUGAGUUAUUAUUGAUGUAGUUAUCCACAAAUUUAUUAAUAUCUGCAGCUUUAAAUGAAGCUUCA